UGACCGCGGCAAGAAGUCGCGCACGAUCC
Molecule: small RNA, 29 nt
Filed under: Bombyx mori (domestic silkworm)
Lineage: Eukaryota; Metazoa; Arthropoda; Insecta; Lepidoptera; Bombycidae
Description: ovarian small RNA-31618
Source: RNAcentral